Molecule: ribosomal RNA, 454 nt
Filed under: uncultured bacterium
Lineage: Bacteria
Description: bacterial SSU rRNA
Rfam family: Bacterial small subunit ribosomal RNA
Source: RNAcentral
UGGGGAAUUUUGGACAAUGGGGGCAACCCUGAUCCAGCCAUGCCGCGUGAGUGAAGAAGGCCUUCGGGUUGUAAAGCUCUUUCGGCGGGGACGAAAUGGUCCGUGACAACACCACGGACUGAUGACGGUACUCGCAUAAGAAGCACCGGCUAACUACGUGCCAGCAGCCGCGGUAAUACGUAGGGUGCAGGCGUUAAUCGGAAUUACUGGGCGUAAAGCGUGCGCAGGCGGCUCCUUAAGUCAGAUGUGAAAUCCCCGGGCUUAACCUGGGAACUGCGUUUGAAACUGGGGAGCUAGAGUGUGGAAGAGGGGGGUGGAAUUCCAGGUGUAGCAGUGAAAUGCGUAGAUAUCUGGAGGAACACCGAUGGCGAAGGCAGCCCCCUGGGCUAACACUGACGCUGAGACGCGAAAGCGUGGGGAGCAAACAGGAUUAGAUACCCCCGUAGUCCCUGAG